RNAcentral lists this ribosomal RNA (264 nucleotides) under uncultured archaeon. RNAcentral's name for it is "partial 16S ribosomal RNA". It matches the Rfam family "Archaeal small subunit ribosomal RNA", at positions 715 to 982 of the family's 1478-position model. The record is from RNAcentral.
AGUCACUGACAUUAGAUACCGUGUAGUCCAGGGUGUAAACGCUGCAGACUUGGUGUUGGAGGCCCUUUGGGGGCAUUCAGUGCCGGAGAGAAGUUGUUAAGUCUGCUACUUGGGGAGCACGUCCGCAAGGAUGAAACUUAAAGGAAUUGGCGGGGGAGCACCGCAACGGGAGGAGCGUGCGGUUUAAUUGGAUUCAACACCGUAAAACUCACCAGGGAAGACUGUUACAUGAAGGCCGAGAUGAAGACUCUGCUAGAUUUUCAG